CCCUGUCAGGGGGACAACCCGCCGAAAGGCGGGCUAAACCCGCGUACAUGCCACCGGGGCAUCCCGGAGGCAGGAAAGGCUUCGGCCGGACAGGGAUGGGCAUGCGGCGCAUUAGGCAGUAGGCGGGGUAACGGCCCACCUAACCGACGAUGCGUAGGGGUUCUGAGAGGAAGGUCCCCCACACUGGUACUGAGACACGGACCAGACUCCUACGGGAGGCAGCAGUGAGGAAUAUUGGUCAAUGGUCGGGAGGCUGAACCAGCCAAGCCGCGUGAGGGAUGAAGGUACAGAGUAUCGUAAACCUCUUUUGUCAGGGAACAAAGGCGGGGACGUGUCCCCGGAUGAGUGUACCUGAAGAAAAAGCAUCGGCUAACUCCGUGCCAGCAGCCGCGGUAAUACGGAGGAUGCGAGCGUUAUCCGGAUUUAUUGGGUUUAAAGGGUGCGCAGGCGGUCUGUUAAGUCAGCGGUCAAAGCCCGGGGCUCAACCCCGGCCCGCCGUUGAAACUGGCAGUCUCGAGUUGGAGAGAAGUAUGCGGAAUGCGCGGUGUAGCGGUGAAAUGCAUAGAUAUCGCGCAGAACUCCGAUUGCGAAGGCAGCAUGCCGGCUCCACACUGACGCUGAGGCACGAAAGCGUGGGUAUCGAACAGGAUUAGAUACCCUGGUAGUCCACGCAGUAAACGAUGUAUACGGGCUGUCCGGG
Molecule: ribosomal RNA, 700 nt
Filed under: uncultured bacterium
Lineage: Bacteria
Description: bacterial SSU rRNA
Rfam family: Bacterial small subunit ribosomal RNA
Source: RNAcentral